This 345-nucleotide non-coding RNA is filed under the name Ipomoea nil (Japanese morning glory). RNAcentral describes it as "Bacterial large subunit ribosomal RNA". It matches the Rfam family "Bacterial large subunit ribosomal RNA", at positions 2103 to 2453 of the family's 2925-position model. Lineage: Eukaryota; Viridiplantae; Streptophyta; Magnoliopsida; Solanales; Convolvulaceae. The record is from Rfam by way of RNAcentral.
ACCGUUCCUUGGGAUUGGCUUAGGAUCUUUCCUGCAUAGCUUAGGUGGAAGGCAAAGAAGGGCUCCAUUUGGGAGGUCUCGAGUCAUUGGUGAGAUUCUACUUUAGAAGAGUUAAAAUUCUAAUCUUGUGCUAGGACCUACAGGCUAAAAGAUAGUUUUAGAUGAACAAUUUUUAUGGGGCGUAGGCCUCCCAGAAGGCAACAGAGGUGUGCAAAGAUUUCCUCGUGCCUGACAAAGAUUAGUUCUUGAGUGCAAAGACAGAAUGGAAUUUGAUUGCAAGACCCACUUAUCGAGUAGGGAAAAAGUUUGCCUUAGUGAUUUUCCCUUAGAGAUAACAGACUGAUC